RNAcentral lists this non-coding RNA (83 nucleotides) under Salisediminibacterium selenitireducens. Its description in RNAcentral is "Bacillus selenitireducens c-di-GMP sequence". It matches the Rfam family "c-di-GMP-I riboswitch aptamer". From Rfam's summary of the family: GEMM was predicted in a large-scale screen for bacterial structured RNA regulatory elements. The record is from RNAcentral. Lineage: Bacteria; Bacillati; Bacillota; Bacilli; Caryophanales; Bacillaceae.
AAUUAGAAAAGGCAAAAUCUGUGAAAUCAGAUGACGCAAAGCCACGGACCUAACGGUUUUCCCACGGUCGCCGGGCUACCAAA